CCAAUAGCGUAUAUUAAAGUUGUUGCAGUUAAAAAGCUCGUAGUUGAAUUUCGGGAUUGACACAUCGGUCGUGCCUUAAGGGGUAUGAACUGGUGUAGUCAAUUUCUCACCUUCUGGAGAACCACGAUGCCCUUAAUUGGGUGUCGCGGGGAACCAGGACCUUUACUUUGAAAAAGUUAGAGUGUUUAAAGCAGGCAUUUUGCUUGAAUACAUUAGCAUGGAAUAAUAAAAUAGGACGGCAUGAUUCUAUUUUGUUGGUUUCUAGGAUCACCGUAAUGAUUAAUAGGGAUAGUUGGGGGCAUUAGUAUUCAAUUGUCAGAGGUGAAAUUCUUGGAUUUAUUGAAGACUAACUACUGCGAAAGCAUUUGCCAAGGAUGUUUUCAUUAAUCAAGAACGAAAGUUAGGGGAUCGAAGACGAUCAGAUACCGUCGUAGUCUUAACCAUAAACUAUGCCGACUAGGAAUCAGACGAUGUUAAUUUUUUAAUGACUCGUUUGGCACCUUAC
RNAcentral lists this ribosomal RNA (505 nucleotides) under uncultured Glomeromycotina. RNAcentral's name for it is "partial small subunit ribosomal RNA". It matches the Rfam family "Eukaryotic small subunit ribosomal RNA", at positions 591 to 1091 of the family's 1831-position model. Lineage: Eukaryota; Fungi; Glomeromycota. The record is from RNAcentral.